This 253-nucleotide ribosomal RNA is filed under the name uncultured bacterium. RNAcentral's name for it is "partial 16S ribosomal RNA". It matches the Rfam family "Bacterial small subunit ribosomal RNA", at positions 524 to 776 of the family's 1533-position model. The record is from RNAcentral.
UACAGAGGUCCCAAGCGUUGUUCGGAUUCACUGGGCGUAAAGGGUGCGUAGGUGGCCAGGUAAGUUUGGUGUGAAAGCUCGGAGCUUAACUCCGAAAUGGCAUUGAAUACUAUCUGGCUGGAGGGUCGGAGGGGAGACUGGAAUUCUCGGUGUAGCAGUGAAAUGCGUAGAUAUCGAGAGGAACACCAGUGGCGAAGGCGAGUCUCUGGACGACACCUGACACUGAGGCACGAAAGCUAGGGGAGCAAACAGG